This is a long non-coding RNA of Acanthochromis polyacanthus (spiny chromis), 1382 nucleotides long. RefSeq lists it as uncharacterized. The record is from RefSeq and is a predicted model, not a curated record. NCBI's taxonomy places the organism in Eukaryota, Metazoa, Chordata, Actinopteri, Pomacentridae. The transcript is spliced from 2 exons.
GUCUAUUUAAAGCGAGUGGAGGAGCAGAGGCAGGCAGGGCUAUAAGAUUUCUAAGUAAAUAUGCUUCAAAUUCAAGAGAAUCAUGUGCAGCUGGCAGCUCGCCUGCUUAUUCCAGCCAUGUGUGCUCAUAGUGGUGUGUGUUUGCUCAGUAGCCUGCAGCAGACGAGGAGACACUAAUACGAUGCUUUGUUCCGUGCUGUUAGGCCGGGAAGGCACUUAUUCUGCGGACAAGACUUCCCAAUAACAGGAGGAGACAAAAGCUUUUCGACGGCACAGCAGAUUUUCACCGCCCUAACAAGAAAUGUGGACGUGUAGUAUUCAGCUGGAAUUAAAAGAGCCACUCCAGCGCCGACUGUGAGGAGGAGAGUCAGACGGUGGGGGGUGGAGGAGAAUAAUAGAGACGGAGGGGGAGAGGUGGAGGACUGCAGUGAGAGUGAGAGACAAGAAAGCGAGGAGAAGAUGCGAAAAGAAAGCGAGGAGAAGGACCUGUAACAAAAUGUCAUGGGCUGGAUGUGAGCCCACAGCCACUGCAUCAGGGACUGUAGCCGCUGUUUAUGCACUGCAAAAACUCACGAAGUCUAUUUGUCUUAUUUUUAUUCAAAAUGUCUCAUCCCACUUGGUUUAUGAUAAAUUCACUUAACAAGUGACAUUUCAGCAAGAUGGAAGAACUUGUUUUAAGACAAUGCAUCUUAAAUAUCUUAAGUGAAGCAAUCUUUAAAUGAUCUUAUUUUGAGUUGUAUUUUACAAAAAAAAAAUCAAAAAAAGUUUAAUACAUCUCAAAUUAGGAGGUUACAUGAAAGCAAAAAUCUGUUUUUGAGUGAAAAACUGCUAUUUUUUUAAGCAUAUUUGGUUUAUUUUAUGACACCUAAGCUUGACAAUCUUGGUAAAACGUAGCUUAAAAUAAGUUUUCCCAGCUAAUUUUAAGAUAUCAAUAUUCUAAAUAUCAUAUCUUAUUUCAAGAAAUCUUACCCAGCCAUUUUUCACUUGUUUUAUUGGCAGAUUUUUUUCACAUAUUUUAAGGUAAAAGAUCAUUGAAAAAAGUUUUUUUCUUGUUUUGAGAGGGGUGUUUGGGUCACCCACUCAACCCGUUAAACUACCAGGAUACCCCUAUUUCCAGCUUUUAUUGCCCAAUCCAAGUGCCACCGAAAACAACGUCCUCAUCCUCAAGGAACCAUGAAUGUAUGGACCAAAUGUCACUGUAAGUUGUCUGAUAGUUGUCAGGAUUUUUAACUAAAAACAAAUAUUUCAAGGUUACAUUUGAGCUUGAUUUACAGGAUUCAUCAUACUGUGAAUGUCUGAAUGUCUAGUGUUUGUUGAUCUUUUUGUUUUGCCAGUUUUGCAUUGCAUUCAAAAUGUAUAAACUUGUACAAGUUGUGCAACUU